AACACCAUACCCACAGACUCUAUAAACCAUCUUGUACCCAAGGUAAGAGGGAGAAGACAAAAAAACACAAUAGAAAGGGAGAACGGCAAAAACGGAGACGGCGAUCUUCUCCAAAGCCACCAUAAAUCUCCAUGAAAACAACCUCUCUCACGAUUUUUCUCUCUAAAAAAAAAUGAAACUAGCAGCAACAACCAUUUUUUCAAAAGAACUCGAACGCCCCUCAGCCGUUCUUCAUAAGCAACCAGCUUCACACUCAACAGCCGACUUUCACCACCAUUAAAACACGGUCGAAGUUUCGGCGCCGAAAGUCCGUCCGAGUUAAAAGUUUCUCUGGUCAAGGUUCAGUUUGCGAAUUUGGUUCCGAGGUUGUUAUUUGAUUUCAGCUUUUCUUAUCUCCAUGGUUAUGGCUAUUGUACAAAGCUUGGCUUGAAAUUUUAUUAAUAUUGAAAGAGGUUUCCUUCAAAUUUCUUCGGUCCAGCUUGGUCUUAAGUUUAAUUCUUCCCUCUGUUUGAGCUCAUCGCUGCCGUUUAGUUGCUGUAAUCUCACUAGAGAUGCUCGAUAAUAAUGUUUGAUCAAUGUCAUUUUGGAGCGAGUUUCCCGGUGCCUAAUCGAGUUUCCGUAUGCGGUUUAUUACAUUUUGAGCUCAAAGCAGUGCUGCUAUAGUUGAUUUCCAUGCCAUACUGAGGGUAAAUCGAUCAGAUAUAAGCAGAAGAGGUUGAUUGUCACAUUUGGUCAAAGCUGGAGUGAUUGUGCAGGCGACGCUGCUCUGCUUUUGCCCUUUCAGGUAAUCCAUUUCGAGGUUGGCGUGAAUGGAUUUGUUUUUGGAUCUUUUUCUGCAGUAAGUUUCCAUUGUUACGAAUAUUCUGAUGCAAUUAUGUGCUAGGAAUACUUAUUUGAUAAUCCAACUAAUCACUCAAAAGAAUUAGAUAUUUGGAAAUCUAAAGGUUUGUUCUAUGACAUCUGUAUUUGUCGCAAUAAGUGUUAUUAGUAUUUGCUUUUCAAAAAUAAGUCAUCUAGUUAACAAAUAAAGCCAUCGAUUAUUAGAAUAGUUAUUACUUUCAGUUGAUGGUUCAUGAAGUUAUUUAUAAUUUCUUAUAUUGCUUGGGUAGUAAAUUAGGUAAGUGAAUAAGUUGAAUGUAUUGGGCUCAGGGAGUUGAAUGUAUUCUUCUGCUUCGUUUUUUUUUUUUGGGCAAUCACACUAGGCAAAUGCCUAGGGCUCGACUUUAUUAAUAAUCAAAAAGAAAAUUACAACAAUUAGGAAAAUUAAAAUAAGGAUUAGCACCGGUGUUGUUACCCAUAUAACACAACCAGUGUAAACCUUAUCCUAAUAAUCCUAUUGAGGCAAAUAAAAACCUCACAUAUUAGCAAGCAUGUAAAAAGAAAGAACUAGCAAGAACUAAGAAUUUGUUAAUCAUCACAAAGUUUAUAACGUACUAUGUAAUGAUAUUACAAAUUAUGAUACUAAUGAGAUGAUAAUAAUGAGAUGAAGAAACCACCUUGGUGUUCUCUUUUUUCUAGAUUUGUGAAUACUUCCAUUUGUAGAUUGAUAUCUUCCUCCACAAUAUUUUUCAAAAAUACUUCAAAGUUCAUGGUUUUUUUAUCAAACGAUUGGCCUUUGAUUGAUUGAGCUGUUUUUGUUUUGCAUUUCUCUCACAUUUUUUAUCAAUCGAUUGGCCCUUGAAGCUAUUGUUUGAUUGAGCUGUUUUUGUUUUGCGUUUCUCAUUGGGGGUCUCCUUAUUAAAUCGCCUUCUAUCACCCUGUCGUCCCAACUUCUAUUCCUUGCACGCGGGUUGGUACUUUUUCCACUAUGCAAUGGUGAUAAAUCACCAUUUUUUGAAGUGUCUGUCCAGCAUUUCUGUAAAAUAUCCUCUUCCUCUCCUUCUUCAUAUAUAUGUCUACUUGUUGAAAUUGGAUUUGGCAUAUCUUGAAAAUUGCCUUGACUUAGCAAUGUUGUUUCAGCUUGUACAUUUGCCGAAAUUGCCUUGUUUUGAAUUUGUUUUUGCGAUUUGUUCCUACUCAUAUUUGCACGGCUUGAACUGGAAUUAUCAAGGGCUAGAGCAUCUGUAAUUUAUCUUCGCAUCCAAAAUUUGUCUUUCUUCUGAAGAGAAUAAAGGAUUAUUUGUUACGAAGUGUCUUUCAUCGUCUUGCUGCUGUUCAGAACUAUGACUUAAAACCAAAGGUUGGCUCGUUCCAUCGACAUGAUUCCUCUGCUCUAAAAUACUUGCUGGUUCAGUUGUGACCAAAAGAUUUUGUCCAGUUUUUUUUUCGAGCAGAAGCAUUUUUGUCUGCUGAAUGUUGGUCUGGUUGGAUGUGAAUUCCUGUUGCUAUUUUGUCGAUCUUUGGUAUUGCUGUAUUUGAACUAACUGCUUUUGCAGUAUUUGUUGGAAGAAAAACUAGAGCGUUAUGGUUCAACUUGCUGAUUGAAUUUGCUGUAGUUACCACAGAUGCACGACAAUUCAGAUUGGUCUGCUUUGAUAAUGCAGGUCUCCCGUUGAAGCUUGCUCUAUUUGCCGCAGAUGUACGCCAAUUCAGAUUGGUCUGUUUUCAUGAUGCAGGUCUCCCAUUGAAUUUUUGUUUGAUUGGAGCGUCAAAGUCCUCUCCUGCACUAUCCUGAUCAGUUUGUUGAUCGUCUUCUUCGGUUGAAAAACCAGCAAAACCAACUCCCCAUCCCACAUCAUCAUCAUACUCUCGUUGGUCUUUCCACAGUUUCAAGUUAAUGACAAUCUUCCUCAUGUUUGCUUGAAUUAUUGCUUUGUUACUACCAAAAGAGAUUGCUGGUUGUCCAUAUUGUUGUUGCUCGUCAGUUGAUUCAAAUGAUUGAUGCAGUGAGGCCAAAGAUUGCAUGAACUUAGGAACAUUGGACAUCAUUUUAUCCUGUGUAUCUUUGGUGACAGUUUGAUCCGUUG
This 2906-nucleotide long non-coding RNA is filed under the name Nicotiana benthamiana. RNAcentral describes it as "long non-coding RNA (NBEN_LNC023467)". Lineage: Eukaryota; Viridiplantae; Streptophyta; Magnoliopsida; Solanales; Solanaceae. The record is from RNAcentral.